Molecule: ribosomal RNA, 1391 nt
Filed under: Limosilactobacillus fermentum
Lineage: Bacteria; Bacillati; Bacillota; Bacilli; Lactobacillales; Lactobacillaceae
Description: Lactobacillus fermentum 16S ribosomal RNA
Rfam family: Bacterial small subunit ribosomal RNA
Source: RNAcentral
UUUGGUCGCCAACGAGUGGCGGACGGGUGAGUAACACGUAGGUAACCUGCCCAGAAGCGGGGGACAACAUUUGGAAACAGAUGCUAAUACCGCAUAACAGCGUUGUUCGCAUGAACAACGCUUAAAAGAUGGCUUCUCGCUAUCACUUCUGGAUGGACCUGCGGUGCAUUAGCUUGUUGGUGGGGUAACGGCCUACCAAGGCGAUGAUGCAUAGCCGAGUUGAGAGACUGAUCGGCCACAAUGGGACUGAGACACGGCCCAUACUCCUACGGGAGGCAGCAGUAGGGAAUCUUCCACAAUGGGCGCAAGCCUGAUGGAGCAACACCGCGUGAGUGAAGAAGGGUUUCGGCUCGUAAAGCUCUGUUGUUAAAGAAGAACACGUAUGAGAGUAACUGUUCAUACGUUGACGGUAUUUAACCAGAAAGUCACGGCUAACUACGUGCCAGCAGCCGCGGUAAUACGUAGGUGGCAAGCGUUAUCCGGAUUUAUUGGGCGUAAAGAGAGUGCAGGCGGUUUUCUAAGUCUGAUGUGAAAGCCUUCGGCUUAACCGGAGAAGUGCAUCGGAAACUGGAUAACUUGAGUGCAGAAGAGGGUAGUGGAACUCCAUGUGUAGCGGUGGAAUGCGUAGAUAUAUGGAAGAACACCAGUGGCGAAGGCGGCUACCUGGUCUGCAACUGACGCUGAGACUCGAAAGCAUGGGUAGCGAACAGGAUUAGAUACCCUGGUAGUCCAUGCCGUAAACGAUGAGUGCUAGGUGUUGGAGGGUUUCCGCCCUUCAGUGCCGGAGCUAACGCAUUAAGCACUCCGCCUGGGGAGUACGACCGCAAGGUUGAAACUCAAAGGAAUUGACGGGGGCCCGCACAAGCGGUGGAGCAUGUGGUUUAAUUCGAAGCUACGCGAAGAACCUUACCAGGUCUUGACAUCUUGCGCCAACCCUAGAGAUAGGGCGUUUCCUUCGGGAACGCAAUGACAGGUGGUGCAUGGUCGUCGUCAGCUCGUGUCGUGAGAUGUUGGGUUAAGUCCCGCAACGAGCGCAACCCUUGUUACUAGUUGCCAGCAUUAAGUUGGGCACUCUAGUGAGACUGCCGGUGACAAACCGGAGGAAGGUGGGGACGACGUCAGAUCAUCAUGCCCCUUAUGACCUGGGCUACACACGUGCUACAAUGGACGGUACAACGAGUCGCGAACUCGCGAGGGCAAGCAAAUCUCUUAAAACCGUUCUCAGUUCGGACUGCAGGCUGCAACUCGCCUGCACGAAGUCGGAAUCGCUAGUAAUCGCGGAUCAGCAUGCCGCGGUGAAUACGUUCCCGGGCCUUGUACACACCGCCCGUCACACCAUGAGAGUUUGUAACACCCAAAGUCGGUGGGGUAACCUUUUAGGAGCCAGCCGC